CAAGUUAUCCUUAGGGGCUAUAUUAUUUACAAUAAUAUAUUGUUUGUGCAAAUCAUACUGACUUGA
This 66-nucleotide transfer RNA is filed under the name Tropidothorax sinensis. RNAcentral describes it as "tRNA-Val". Lineage: Eukaryota; Metazoa; Arthropoda; Insecta; Hemiptera; Lygaeidae. The record is from RNAcentral.